CCCUUAGAUGUUCUGGGCCGCACGCGCGCUACACUGAUGCAUUCAACGAGUCUAAAACCUGGUCUGAGAGGGCUGGGUAAUCUUUUGAAAGUGCAUCGUGAUUGGGAUAGAUGAUUGCAAUUCUUCAUCUUCAACGAGGAAUGCCUAGUAAACGCAAGUCAUCAGCUUGCAUUGAUUACGUCCCUGCCCUUUGUACACACCGCCCGUCGCUCCUACCGAUUGAAUGAUCCGAUGAAUAUCAUGGAUUGAGGAUGCAAGUAGGUUCGCCUAUCUUCAUCUUCGAGAAGUGAAGUAAAUCUUAUCAUUUAGAGGAAGGAGAAGUCGUAACA
Molecule: ribosomal RNA, 329 nt
Filed under: uncultured eukaryote
Lineage: Eukaryota
Description: partial 18S ribosomal RNA
Rfam family: Eukaryotic small subunit ribosomal RNA
Source: RNAcentral